GUAAUGCCGGAUGCUCCAGUUGAUCGCAUGGUCUUCUGGGAAAGCUUUCGCGGUAUGGGAUGGGGUCGCGUCCUAUCAGCUUGACGGCGGGGUAACGGCCCACCGUGGCUUCGACGGGUAGCCGGCCUGAGAGGGCGACCGGCCACAUUGGGACUGAGAUACGGCCCAGACUCCUACGGGAGGCAGCAGUGGGGAAUAUUGCACAAUGGGCGCAAGCCUGAUGCAGCGACGCCGCGUGAGGGAUGGAGGCCUUCGGGUUGUAAACCUCUUUUAUCGGGGAGCAAGCGAGAGUGAGUUUACCCGUUGAAUAAGCACCGGCUAACUACGUGCCAGCAGCCGCGGUAAUACGUAGGGUGCAAGCGUUAUCCGGAAUUAUUGGGCGUAAAGGGCUCGUAGGCGGUUCGUCGCGUCCGGUGUGAAAGUCCAUCGCUUAACGGUGGAUCCGCGCCGGGUACGGGCGGGCUUGAGUGCGGUAGGGGAGACUGGAAUUCCCGGUGUAACGGUGGAAUGUGUAGAUAUCG
This 521-nucleotide ribosomal RNA is filed under the name Bifidobacterium longum. Its description in RNAcentral is "bacterial SSU rRNA". It matches the Rfam family "Bacterial small subunit ribosomal RNA", at positions 163 to 699 of the family's 1533-position model. Lineage: Bacteria; Bacillati; Actinomycetota; Actinomycetes; Bifidobacteriales; Bifidobacteriaceae. RNAcentral also lists the same sequence under 1 other name. The record is from RNAcentral.